Molecule: long non-coding RNA, 1864 nt
Organism: Coturnix japonica (Japanese quail)
Lineage: Eukaryota; Metazoa; Chordata; Aves; Galliformes; Phasianidae
Source: Ensembl
AUGUUUUCUCUACUAAAUUUGUUUUACCAGGGACUGUGUGCCAUUGGUUCCUUUUUUGAGACGCUCCGAACAUAUUGGGCCAUGUUUAAGCUAGCCACUUUUUCUUAUGGAGCUAUACAAUUGUAUAAUGGAUUGAAAGCAUGGUUAGCAAUGCUCACUUCGUAUCUGUAUACAGCUCCAGAGGGAGCAACUAAUGCAACUAAUUAUACAGAAAUGGUGAUUUUUAAGCGUGCUCCUCUUUCUUUCUAUGAAUCCUUUAUGCAGUUCUUGAAUGAUCAGUGGGCCACACUCUUAAUCUCCCUGAUCUUACUGUUGAUUAUUGUAAUAAUCUCACUCAGUAUCUGGAUUUAUAACAUCCGGAGGAAGUCUUCCCUAGAACCAGAGAAUACUGAGUGGCAGGGAAUUGAAGAGAUUCUCAAAGGACAGACAUCUUCAGUGUUAUGGAGCUUCACUCCUGAACACUUGAAGAAUCCUGAGAGUUUGAUUGCAUAUUUGAGGCAGGAAUGUUGUGGCUCAGGCAGAUCUCAGGAGGCACAAAUGAUUUUGGGCCUAGCUAAUGCUUAUUGGGCCUUAGUCAAUACCAUUCCUGAGAGAGAGAGUCUUAGAGCUGAGGCAGAAAAACUUUGGACUGAGAAGGUAGAGAGAGAAAAUGCAGAAGGAGUUAGAAGAGCGGAGGGAGUUAGGAGAGCAGGACUCAGGAGAGCAGGGGGACUCAGGAGAGCAGGGGGACUCAGGAGGUCAGGGGGACUCAGGAGAGCAGGAGGAGUCAGAAGACCAGAGGAAGUCGCGCGGGGCAGUGGUUGUAGAGGCAGUAUAAGAAGAUGUUCGAGGAGGAGAAGAAGUCAGAGGAGCAGAGGAAGUUAGGAGAGAGAAAGUUAGGAGAGAGGAAAAAGGAGGAAGGUCGCCUGGAGGAAAUAACACAAGCGUCAGAGUCAGGGUCAGAGUCAGACGAGGAGCCAAAAGCUAGAUUUUUCUACGAGAAUUUCUCGAGUCCAAACUUAUAGAUGGGGCAGCCUCAUCAACACAGCUGCCAACAUUAACACCUGGGACUCCUGAUAGAGCAAAAGGUGAGCAAAGUAUUACGACCAUUAUUGAUCGAUCUUUUAAACUGAGUGAAAUUCGAGAUCUGAGAAAGGAUUUCACACGUCAGCCAAAAGAAAAUAUGGUCACUUGGUUACUUCGCUGCUGGGACAAUGGUGCCAACAGUGCGUGGCUCGAUGGCAGUGAAGCUCGCCAACUGGGUAGCAUUUCCAGGGACUCACGUGUGGACAGAGGUAUAGGCACAUGCCAAAAUCGGUCCUACACCCUCUGGAAGCGGAUGUUGAUAGCGGUAAGAGAUAGAUUCCCUUUAAACGGGACUUGGAGCCUGAGAAAAAGAAAUGGACUGAUAUGGAGAAAGGUAUCCAAUUUUUGAGAGAAAGGGCUCUGGUGAAAUGCUCUACAGCCCCCAGUUCAAUCGUAAACAAUCCAAACCAAUUACAUGAUCCUGAAGCAGUCCACGUUCCACGACAAAGUGGCGUACUUUACAAAGGCAGCUCCAGAAAAGCAUGCCAGUGCACUUGCAUUGGUAUAUGGCAAAGGGAAGAAAGCCCCUGUAAAUGAGCUAAUUAGCAGAACUUCAGGAGCUUGAAUUAUUUAUAAGCGCUACAGAAGUUAAGCUUUAUACUUCAGCCAUUGUCCAAAUGGGAAAAAAAUAGUGGAAAGGUUAGACAAAUGUGGAGGAAACACAAAGUGAUAUUAUUGACAAAUUGGCUAAUGUGCCUGAUGUAGAUGAAUCCACGGUGGUACAAGAUGAUGGAAACCAGGAUUUUCCACAAUCGCCUAUUGAGGAAGCUAAACAACAUGAGUUCCUCUCGACCUGUAU